GACGAACGCUGGCGGCGUGCUUAACACAUGCAAGUCGAACGGAAAGGCCCUGCUUUUGUGGGGUGCUCGAGUGGCGAACGGGUGAGUAACACGUGAGUAACCUGCCCUUGACUUUGGGAUAACUUCAGGAAACUGGGGCUAAUACAGGAUAGGAGUUCCUGCUGCACGGAGGGGGUUGGAAAGUUUCGGCGGUUGGGGAUGGAUUCGCGGAUUAGCAGCUUGUUGGUGGGGUAGUGGCUUACCAAGGCUUUGACGGGUAGCCGGCCUGAGAGGGUGACCGGCCACAUUGGGACUGAGAUACGGCCCAGACUCCUACGGUAGGCAGCAGUGGGGAAUAUUGCACAAUGGGCGGAAGCCUGAUGCAGCAACGCCGCGUGCGGGAUGACGGCCUUCGGGUUGUAAACCGCUUUCGCCUGUGACGAAGCGUGAGUGACGGUACUGGGUAAAGAAGCACCGGCUAACUACGUG
This 468-nucleotide ribosomal RNA is filed under the name uncultured bacterium. RNAcentral's name for it is "partial 16S ribosomal RNA". It matches the Rfam family "Bacterial small subunit ribosomal RNA", at positions 28 to 507 of the family's 1533-position model. The record is from RNAcentral.